UAUGGCCCCAGUGCUCCCAGUAUGGCCCCAAUAUGCCCCCAGUGCUCCCAGUAUGGCCCCAAUACAGCCCCAGUGCUCCCAGUACGGCCCCAGUACAGCCCCAGUGCUCCCAGUAUGGCCCCAGUUCUCCCAGUAUGGCCCCAGUAUGGCCCCAGUGCUCCCAGUAUGGCCCCAAUACGACCCCAGUAUGGCCCCAUUACUCCCAAUACGGCCCCAAUACAACCCCAAUUCUCCCAGUACGGCCCCAAUACGACCCCAACCCCUCCCAGUUGAUCCCAGUUUGUCCCAGUUCUCACCUCCCCGUGGCCUCGGCAGUGCCGGCCCGCGUUGGCGAUCACCUGCUCAUCGCUCAGCUCCCCGUAGGGCUGCUCCCUGCACCGGGUCAGCACCUCCCACAGCGUCACCCCAAAAGCCCACGCGUCGCUGGCAGGGGUGAAGGUGCCCUAAAGGGAAAGGGGGAGAGGGGAGAAAAGACCCCAUAAUCCCAUUAUCCACCCCAUAACUCCAUAAUCCCCACCCUCACCCCGUUACGCAGCCCACAACCCUACAACCCCCACCCUGACCCCAAAAUCCCAUUACCCACCUCAUAACCCC
This 594-nucleotide long non-coding RNA is filed under the name Phasianus colchicus (ring-necked pheasant). Its description in RNAcentral is "lncRNA (ENSPCLG00000020222.1)". The record is from RNAcentral. Lineage: Eukaryota; Metazoa; Chordata; Aves; Galliformes; Phasianidae.